UGGGAAUAUUGCAGCAUUUAUUGAUGAACUGCAGUGGGAGGAGCUUCACUGAAGGUGUGAUUGUUGUGGGAGGGGCUUCACUGAAGGUGUGAUUGUUGUGGGAGGAGCUUCACUGAUGGAGGAGCAGAUCUGCCAGUUUGAGAGCGUCAACUCAUUGUACAGUGUACCCCUCUUUGCAUGAGAGGAAGCAUUAGGAGAGAGGAGAAGAGAGACACUGAAAAGACACUCGACAGAUGUUGAAAUGCAUGUUUUUGUGCAAGGAGAAGUGGCAUGGACUAUCAGAGGAGGGUCAGAAAGCUCUGAGAUUUCAUUAUAAAGAUCUUCAUUUGUGUUCUGAAGAUGAACAAAAGACUUGCGGGUUUGGAACGACAUGAUGGUGAGUAAUUGAUGACAGA
Molecule: long non-coding RNA, 395 nt
Organism: Cyprinus carpio (common carp)
Lineage: Eukaryota; Metazoa; Chordata; Actinopteri; Cypriniformes; Cyprinidae
Exons: 3
Source: RefSeq, a predicted model, not a curated record